RNAcentral lists this ribosomal RNA (2902 nucleotides) under Escherichia coli KTE35. Its description in RNAcentral is "bacterial LSU rRNA". It matches the Rfam family "Bacterial large subunit ribosomal RNA". The record is from RNAcentral. Lineage: Bacteria; Pseudomonadati; Pseudomonadota; Gammaproteobacteria; Enterobacterales; Enterobacteriaceae.
UUAAGCGACUAAGCGUACACGGUGGAUGCCCUGGCAGUCAGAGGCGAUGAAGGACGUGCUAAUCUGCGAUAAGCGUCGGUAAGGUGAUAUGAACCGUUAUAACCGGCGAUUUCCGAAUGGGGAAACCCAGUGUGUUUCGACACACUAUCAUUAACUGAAUCCAUAGGUUAAUGAGGCGAACCGGGGGAACUGAAACAUCUAAGUACCCCGAGGAAAAGAAAUCAACCGAGAUUCCCCCAGUAGCGGCGAGCGAACGGGGAGGAGCCCAGAGCCUGAAUCAGUGUGUGUGUUAGUGGAAGCGUCUGGAAAGGCGCGCGAUACAGGGUGACAGCCCCGUACACAAAAAUGCACAUGCUGUGAGCUCGAUGAGUAGGGCGGGACACGUGGUAUCCUGUCUGAAUAUGGGGGGACCAUCCUCCAAGGCUAAAUACUCCUGACUGACCGAUAGUGAACCAGUACCGUGAGGGAAAGGCGAAAAGAACCCCGGCGAGGGGAGUGAAAAAGAACCUGAAACCGUGUACGUACAAGCAGUGGGAGCACGCUUAGGCGUGUGACUGCGUACCUUUUGUAUAAUGGGUCAGCGACUUAUAUUCUGUAGCAAGGUUAACCGAAUAGGGGAGCCGAAGGGAAACCGAGUCUUAACUGGGCGUUAAGUUGCAGGGUAUAGACCCGAAACCCGGUGAUCUAGCCAUGGGCAGGUUGAAGGUUGGGUAACACUAACUGGAGGACCGAACCGACUAAUGUUGAAAAAUUAGCGGAUGACUUGUGGCUGGGGGUGAAAGGCCAAUCAAACCGGGAGAUAGCUGGUUCUCCCCGAAAGCUAUUUAGGUAGCGCCUCGUGAACUCAUCUCCGGGGGUAGAGCACUGUUUCGGCAAGGGGGUCAUCCCGACUUACCAACCCGAUGCAAACUGCGAAUACCGGAGAAUGUUAUCACGGGAGACACACGGCGGGUGCUAACGUCCGUCGUGAAGAGGGAAACAACCCAGACCGCCAGCUAAGGUCCCAAAGUCAUGGUUAAGUGGGAAACGAUGUGGGAAGGCCCAGACAGCCAGGAUGUUGGCUUAGAAGCAGCCAUCAUUUAAAGAAAGCGUAAUAGCUCACUGGUCGAGUCGGCCUGCGCGGAAGAUGUAACGGGGCUAAACCAUGCACCGAAGCUGCGGCAGCGACGCUUAUGCGUUGUUGGGUAGGGGAGCGUUCUGUAAGCCUGUGAAGGUGUACUGUGAGGUAUGCUGGAGGUAUCAGAAGUGCGAAUGCUGACAUAAGUAACGAUAAAGCGGGUGAAAAGCCCGCUCGCCGGAAGACCAAGGGUUCCUGUCCAACGUUAAUCGGGGCAGGGUGAGUCGACCCCUAAGGCGAGGCCGAAAGGCGUAGUCGAUGGGAAACAGGUUAAUAUUCCUGUACUUGGUGUUACUGCGAAGGGGGGACGGAGAAGGCUAUGUUGGCCGGGCGACGGUUGUCCCGGUUUAAGCGUGUAGGCUGGUUUUCCAGGCAAAUCCGGAAAAUCAAGGCUGAGGCGUGAUGACGAGGCACUACGGUGCUGAAGCAACAAAUGCCCUGCUUCCAGGAAAAGCCUCUAAGCAUCAGGUAACAUCAAAUCGUACCCCAAACCGACACAGGUGGUCAGGUAGAGAAUACCAAGGCGCUUGAGAGAACUCGGGUGAAGGAACUAGGCAAAAUGGUGCCGUAACUUCGGGAGAAGGCACGCUGAUAUGUAGGUGAAGUCCCUUGCGGAUGGAGCUGAAAUCAGUCGAAGAUACCAGCUGGCUGCAACUGUUUAUUAAAAACACAGCACUGUGCAAACACGAAAGUGGACGUAUACGGUGUGACGCCUGCCCGGUGCCGGAAGGUUAAUUGAUGGGGUCAGCGCAAGCGAAGCUCUUGAUCGAAGCCCCGGUAAACGGCGGCCGUAACUAUAACGGUCCUAAGGUAGCGAAAUUCCUUGUCGGGUAAGUUCCGACCUGCACGAAUGGCGUAAUGAUGGCCAGGCUGUCUCCACCCGAGACUCAGUGAAAUUGAACUCGCUGUGAAGAUGCAGUGUACCCGCGGCAAGACGGAAAGACCCCGUGAACCUUUACUAUAGCUUGACACUGAACAUUGAGCCUUGAUGUGUAGGAUAGGUGGGAGGCUUUGAAGUGUGGACGCCAGUCUGCAUGGAGCCGACCUUGAAAUACCACCCUUUAAUGUUUGAUGUUCUAACGUUGACCCGUAAUCCGGGUUGCGGACAGUGUCUGGUGGGUAGUUUGACUGGGGCGGUCUCCUCCUAAAGAGUAACGGAGGAGCACGAAGGUUGGCUAAUCCUGGUCGGACAUCAGGAGGUUAGUGCAAUGGCAUAAGCCAGCUUGACUGCGAGCGUGACGGCGCGAGCAGGUGCGAAAGCAGGUCAUAGUGAUCCGGUGGUUCUGAAUGGAAGGGCCAUCGCUCAACGGAUAAAAGGUACUCCGGGGAUAACAGGCUGAUACCGCCCAAGAGUUCAUAUCGACGGCGGUGUUUGGCACCUCGAUGUCGGCUCAUCACAUCCUGGGGCUGAAGUAGGUCCCAAGGGUAUGGCUGUUCGCCAUUUAAAGUGGUACGCGAGCUGGGUUUAGAACGUCGUGAGACAGUUCGGUCCCUAUCUGCCGUGGGCGCUGGAGAACUGAGGGGGGCUGCUCCUAGUACGAGAGGACCGGAGUGGACGCAUCACUGGUGUUCGGGUUGUCAUGCCAAUGGCACUGCCCGGUAGCUAAAUGCGGAAGAGAUAAGUGCUGAAAGCAUCUAAGCACGAAACUUGCCCCGAGAUGAGUUCUCCCUGACCCUUUAAGGGUCCUGAAGGAACGUUGAAGACGACGACGUUGAUAGGCCGGGUGUGUAAGCGCAGCGAUGCGUUGAGCUAACCGGUACUAAUGAACCGUGAGGCUUAACCUU